CUUUCAAUAUGCCUGGCUCCCUGUAUGCCAUUUGUAGAGCGCUCACCGUCAUUCCCGAUGGCCUCCGCGCAUGGCGUAUGAGGAGCCAAGCAUAUCCAUAUC
This 102-nucleotide microRNA precursor is filed under the name Cucumis melo (muskmelon). Its description in RNAcentral is "miR160b stem-loop (cme-MIR160b)". Its record names the gene cme-MIR160b. The stretch from base 7 to 95 matches the Rfam family "mir-160 microRNA precursor family". Rfam says of the family: The hairpin precursors (represented here) are predicted based on base pairing and cross-species conservation -- their extents are not known. In this case the mature sequence is excised from the 5' arm of the hairpin. Lineage: Eukaryota; Viridiplantae; Streptophyta; Magnoliopsida; Cucurbitales; Cucurbitaceae. The record is from miRBase by way of RNAcentral.